This 235-nucleotide long non-coding RNA is filed under the name Homo sapiens (human). RNAcentral's name for it is "HSALNT0241404". The record is from RNAcentral. Lineage: Eukaryota; Metazoa; Chordata; Mammalia; Primates; Hominidae.
GCUUCCUCUCUGCUGCCAAGCGGUGGCGGCUGAGGCGGGAGGUGGUGGGGGUAGAGACGUUUUUAUUGAGCUCUUACCGUGUGCCUGGUCCUGUAGAAUCCCUGGAAUGAGUAAAGAAGGUUACAGUGCCUGCCCUCGAGAAGCUUGGGGAGCCAAGGGCUUACAGGGGCCCGACCUGUGGGUUGAAACCCAGGUUCCCUGUGGGCACCCUCUGUACUACUUACCAUUGACCCAA